AUUGACUUGAUUUCUAGCCAAGGUUAGAUCAAUCUUUCAAAUACUCUCUACAUUUACAUAUUGUCUUUACAAACUAGUGUAGUGCCUAGCUUUAAGUCCAUCAAGAAAAAACGACAGAACAUAUAUCCUUUAUGGGCACAAGCAGUGAUACUCGUCCCUUCAUAUUUCGAAGAGGGACAUACUCUUCCUUUUUCCCAUUUUGUGCACCAUUCAACUUGAGCAACAGUUGCACCAAUGACACUGUAAAUGUAACCUUGGCUGUAGAAUCUUUAUUUUUAUCUGUAUAUUUUACAUGCCUAAUUGCCUACUGCAUCACUCUUUAAGAAAAGGAUACUUGAAUCACAUCUGAAGAGUAAUAUUCACUUAAUAUUUUGCCUAAUAUAGAACCCAGCAGGCAGACAUCUUCCUGAACAUUCAGUUGGUCCUUUUACCCAGAAUGAAUAAAAGAAAAAAAAGAAAAAGAUUAACUCAAUUGAACCUUGCUUAUAUGUUAUUUUUAAUAUAAU
RNAcentral lists this unclassified non-coding RNA (506 nucleotides) under Hevea brasiliensis (rubber tree). Lineage: Eukaryota; Viridiplantae; Streptophyta; Magnoliopsida; Malpighiales; Euphorbiaceae. The record is from RNAcentral.